This 1653-nucleotide ribosomal RNA is filed under the name Triticum aestivum (bread wheat). Its description in RNAcentral is "partial small subunit ribosomal RNA". Lineage: Eukaryota; Viridiplantae; Streptophyta; Magnoliopsida; Poales; Poaceae. The record is from RNAcentral.
AUGCUAAUGCCUCACCUGGGAAGCAAGGUGAGCGUAGUAACUACACGCGAUGAAGCCAUUGCAAGGAAAGUUAGCAGUACUGUUAUGCCAUUCAAGCUAGAUAUUUUGACGGAUGAUAUGUGCUGGACUAUAAUAAAACAAAAAAGUUCCUUUGAAAAUCGACCUGACAAAAAACAGUUGGAGCAGAUAGGAAGGGACAUUGCAAUCAAGUGUGGGGGCAUGGCUUUGGCAGCUCAAUCACUUGGGUACAUGUUGAGGGACAUGACGUCUGACCAAUGGCAGUCAGUGAGGGACAGUUAUAUCUGGAAUUUAUCUACUUCUGAAGAUCCAUCAUUAAGAAAUCAUGAAGUGCUUGCAUCCUUGCUGUUAAGCUAUAGUCACAUGCCUGAAUUCUUGAAGUUGUGCUUUUCCUAUUGUGCAAUCUUUAGGAAAGGUCAGAAGAUAAAGAAGUACGAUCUAAUUCACCAAUGGAUAGCUCUUGGAUUCACCGGACCAUCUAGGAUACUUGGUCCUAUGCAGCUCUGCGAGAAAUAUGUUAGUCAACUUAUGGGGAUGUCUUUCCUUGAAUAUUCAAAGGCACCUCAGAGAGGACAGCGGGACAAAUAUGUUACACUAUUCACGAUGCAUGACCUAGUGCACGAUCUUGCAAGGGCGAUCUUGGCAGAUCAAGUUAAUGAUAAGGGCAGUCCUGGGGGAAACAGUUGCCACUAUGCAUUGAUCACAGAUUGUAGCAAGCCAUUGCAGUUGUCCCCGAGUUAUCUUGAAAAUAUAAGGGCGCUGCAUUUUCGGGCCUGCCACGAAAUAGAGCUUCAUGGUGGUGCAUUUUCACCGGCUAAGUGCAUCCAUGUCUUGGAUUUAAGUGAAUGCCUUAUUCAGAAGUUACCUGAUUGUAUUGGCCAACUGAAGCAGCUGAGGUAUCUUCGUGCUCCACGGAUACGAGAUAAAAUGAUUCCCAAUUGUAUCACCGAGCUCUCAGAAUUAACUUACCUCAACCUUAGAGACUCUCAUAUCUCAGCACUGCCGGAGUCAAUUGGUGAUAUGAAAGGUCUGAUGCAUCUUGAUUUAGCAGGUUGUGCUGGCAUUUGUGAAUUUCCAAAAUCAUUCGCGGAGCUGAAUCAGUUGGUGCAUCUGGAUUUAUCAGAUCGCUAUUAUACCAAACUUCACUUGAGUUUAUCUGAUACCAUUGGCAAUCUAAUCAAUCUCAGGUAUCUAAAUCUUAUGGGGUGCAUUAAUUCUUGGGGCGUACCAGAUGAUCAAGUGGGCAACUUGCUUCACUCUGUCACCACCCUUUCCAAUCUAGAGCAUCUGGACUUGUCAUGCAAUAGUAAUCUUUCUACUAUACCAGAAAGCAUUAGCAACCUCAGGAAGCUUCAUACAUUGGACCUCUCAUGCUGCUGCAACCUAGAGAAGCUUCCCGAUAGUAUGUAUCGGAUGGUUAGUCUGAAGGUUCUAAUUGUGGAUAAAGAGGUUACAUCAUCCAUGCUCUCUCGGUUGAAUUUUGCCUCGUUGCCACAAUUUGUGGUGCAUGCUUCAAGUGAUAAAUGUUGCAGCUAUAUCAGCCUGCUCCAACAUACAAAUACUGAUGACCUGAUGAUAGAUAGACUUGAAAAUGUGAAGUCUUCCGAAGAGGCAGAGUAUAGAACUGAUAGAUAA